RNAcentral lists this ribosomal RNA (753 nucleotides) under uncultured bacterium. RNAcentral describes it as "bacterial SSU rRNA". It matches the Rfam family "Bacterial small subunit ribosomal RNA", at positions 33 to 773 of the family's 1533-position model. The record is from RNAcentral.
ACGCUGGCGGUAGGCCUAACACAUGCAAGUCGAACGGCAGCACAGUAAGAGCUUGCUCUUAUGGGUGGCGAGUGGCGGACGGGUGAGGAAUACAUCGGAAUCUACCUUUUCGUGGGGGAUAACGUAGGGAAACUUACGCUAAUACCGCAUACGACCUUCGGGUGAAAGCAGGGGACCUUCGGGCCUUGCGCGGAUAGAUGAGCCGAUGUCGGAUUAGCUAGUUGGCGGGGUAAAGGCCCACCAAGGCGACGAUCCGUAGCUGGUCUGAGAGGAUGAUCAGCCACACUGGAACUGAGACACGGUCCAGACUCCUACGGGAGGCAGCAGUGGGGAAUAUUGGACAAUGGGCGCAAGCCUGAUCCAGCCAUACCGCGUGGGUGAAGAAGGCCUUCGGGUUGUAAAGCCCUUUUGUUGGGAAAGAAAAGCAAUCGAUUAAUACUCGGUUGUUCUGACGGUACCCAAAGAAUAAGCACCGGCUAACUUCGUGCCAGCAGCCGCGGUAAUACGAAGGGUGCAAGCGUUACUCGGAAUUACUGGGCGUAAAGCGUGCGUAGGUGGUUGUUUAAGUCUGUUGUGAAAGCCCUGGGCUCAACCUGGGAAUUGCAGUGGAUACUGGGCAACUAGAGUGUGGUAGAGGGUAGUGGAAUUCCCGGUGUAGCAGUGAAAUGCGUAGAGAUCGGGAGGAACAUCCAUGGCGAAGGCAGCUACCUGGACCAACACUGACACUGAGGCACGAAAGCGUGGGGAGCAAAC